Molecule: ribosomal RNA, 2931 nt
Filed under: Escherichia coli
Lineage: Bacteria; Pseudomonadati; Pseudomonadota; Gammaproteobacteria; Enterobacterales; Enterobacteriaceae
Description: 23S ribosomal RNA
Rfam family: Bacterial large subunit ribosomal RNA
Source: RNAcentral
GGGUUGUGAGGUUAAGCGACUAAGCGUACACGGUGGAUGCCCUGGCAGUCAGAGGCGAUGAAGGACGUGCUAAUCUGCGAUAAGCGUCGGUAAGGUGAUAUGAACCGUUAUAACCGGCGAUUUCCGAAUGGGGAAACCCAGUGUGUUUCGACACACUAUCAUUAACUGAAUCCAUAGGUUAAUGAGGCGAACCGGGGGAACUGAAACAUCUAAGUACCCCGAGGAAAAGAAAUCAACCGAGAUUCCCCCAGUAGCGGCGAGCGAACGGGGAGGAGCCCAGAGCCUGAAUCAGUGUGUGUGUUAGUGGAAGCGUCUGGAAAGGCGCGCGAUACAGGGUGACAGCCCCGUACACAAAAAUGCACAUACUGUGAGCUCGAUGAGUAGGGCGGGACACGUGGUAUCCUGUCUGAAUAUGGGGGGACCAUCCUCCAAGGCUAAAUACUCCUGACUGACCGAUAGUGAACCAGUACCGUGAGGGAAAGGCGAAAAGAACCCCGGCGAGGGGAGUGAAAAAGAACCUGAAACCGUGUACGUACAAGCAGUGGGAGCCUCUUUUAUGGGGUGACUGCGUACCUUUUGUAUAAUGGGUCAGCGACUUAUAUUCUGUAGCAAGGUUAACCGAAUAGGGGAGCCGAAGGGAAACCGAGUCUUAACUGGGCGUUAAGUUGCAGGGUAUAGACCCGAAACCCGGUGAUCUAGCCAUGGGCAGGUUGAAGGUUGGGUAACACUAACUGGAGGACCGAACCGACUAAUGUUGAAAAAUUAGCGGAUGACUUGUGGCUGGGGGUGAAAGGCCAAUCAAACCGGGAGAUAGCUGGUUCUCCCCGAAAGCUAUUUAGGUAGCGCCUCGUGAAUUCAUCUCCGGGGGUAGAGCACUGUUUCGGCAAGGGGGUCAUCCCGACUUACCAACCCGAUGCAAACUGCGAAUACCGGAGAAUGUUAUCACGGGAGACACACGGCGGGUGCUAACGUCCGUCGUGAAGAGGGAAACAACCCAGACCGCCAGCUAAGGUCCCAAAGUCAUGGUUAAGUGGGAAACGAUGUGGGAAGGCCCAGACAGCCAGGAUGUUGGCUUAGAAGCAGCCAUCAUUUAAAGAAAGCGUAAUAGCUCACUGGUCGAGUCGGCCUGCGCGGAAGAUGUAACGGGGCUAAACCAUGCACCGAAGCUGCGGCAGCGACGCUGAUGCGUUGUUGGGUAGGGGAGCGUUCUGUAAGCCUGUGAAGGUGUGCUGUGAGGCAUGCUGGAGGUAUCAGAAGUGCGAAUGCUGACAUAAGUAACGAUAAAGCGGGUGAAAAGCCCGCUCGCCGGAAGACCAAGGGUUCCUGUCCAACGUUAAUCGGGGCAGGGUGAGUCGACCCCUAAGGCGAGGCCGAAAGGCGUAGUCGAUGGGAAACAGGUUAAUAUUCCUGUACUUGGUGUUACUGCGAAGGGGGGACGGAGAAGGCUAUGUUGGCCGGGCGACGGUUGUCCCGGUUUAAGCGUGUAGGCUGGUUUUCCAGGCAAAUCCGGAAAAUCAAGGCUGAGGCGUGAUGACGAGGCACUACGGUGCUGAAGCAACAAAUGCCCUGCUUCCAGGAAAAGCCUCUAAGCAUCAGGUAACAUCAAAUCGUACCCCAAACCGACACAGGUGGUCAGGUAGAGAAUACCAAGGCGCUUGAGAGAACUCGGGUGAAGGAACUAGGCAAAAUGGUGCCGUAACUUCGGGAGAAGGCACGCUGAUAUGUAGGUGAAGUUCCUCGCGGAUGGAGCUGAAAUCAGUCGAAGAUACCAGCUGGCUGCAACUGUUUAUUAAAAACACAGCACUGUGCAAACACGAAAGUGGACGUAUACGGUGUGACGCCUGCCCGGUGCCGGAAGGUUAAUUGAUGGGGUCAGCGCAAGCGAAGCUCUUGAUCGAAGCCCCGGUAAACGGCGGCCGUAACUAUAACGGUCCUAAGGUAGCGAAAUUCCUUGUCGGGUAAGUUCCGACCUGCACGAAUGGCGUAAUGAUGGCCAGGCUGUCUCCACCCGAGACUCAGUGAAAUUGAACUCGCUGUGAAGAUGCAGUGUACCCGCGGCAAGACGGAAAGACCCCGUGAACCUUUACUAUAGCUUGACACUGAACAUUGAGCCUUGAUGUGUAGGAUAGGUGGGAGGCUUUGAAGUGUGGACGCCAGUCUGCAUGGAGCCGACCUUGAAAUACCACCCUUUAAUGUUUGAUGUUCUAACGUGGACCCGUGAUCCGGGUUGCGGACAGUGUCUGGUGGGUAGUUUGACUGGGGCGGUCUCCUCCUAAAGAGUAACGGAGGAGCACGAAGGUUGGCUAAUCCUGGUCGGACAUCAGGAGGUUAGUGCAAUGGCAUAAGCCAGCUUGACUGCGAGCGUGACGGCGCGAGCAGGUGCGAAAGCAGGUCAUAGUGAUCCGGUGGUUCUGAAUGGAAGGGCCAUCGCUCAACGGAUAAAAGGUACUCCGGGGAUAACAGGCUGAUACCGCCCAAGAGUUCAUAUCGACGGCGGUGUUUGGCACCUCGAUGUCGGCUCAUCACAUCCUGGGGCUGAAGUAGGUCCCAAGGGUAUGGCUGUUCGCCAUUUAAAGUGGUACGCGAGCUGGGUUUAGAACGUCGUGAGACAGUUCGGUCCCUAUCUGCCGUGGGCGCUGGAGAACUGAGGGGGGCUGCUCCUAGUACGAGAGGACCGGAGUGGACGCAUCACUGGUGUUCGGGUUGUCAUGCCAAUGGCACUGCCCGGUAGCUAAAUGCGGAAGAGAUAAGUGCUGAAAGCAUCUAAGCACGAAACUUGCCCCGAGAUGAGUUCUCCCUGACUCCUUGAGAGUCCUGAAGGAACGUUGAAGACGACGACGUUGAUAGGCCGGGUGUGUAAGCGCAGCGAUGCGUUGAGCUAACCGGUACUAAUGAACCGUGAGGCUUAACCUUACAACGCCGAAGGUGUUU